Molecule: ribosomal RNA, 496 nt
Filed under: uncultured bacterium
Lineage: Bacteria
Description: partial 16S ribosomal RNA
Rfam family: Bacterial small subunit ribosomal RNA
Source: RNAcentral
GAUGAACGCUGGCGGCGUGCCUAAUACAUGCAAGUCGAGCGAACAGAUGAGGAGCUUGCUCCUCUGACGUUAGCGGCGGACGGGUGAGUAACACGUGGAUAACCUACCUAUAAGACUGGGAUAACUUCGGGAAACCGGAGCUAAUACCGGAUAAUAUAUUGAACCGCAUGGUUCAAUAGUGAAAGACGGUUUUGCUGUCACUUAUAGAUGGAUCCGCGCCGCAUUAGCUAGUUGGUAAGGUAACGGCUUACCAAGGCGACGAUGCGUAGCCGACCUGAGAGGGUGAUCGGCCACACUGGAACUGAGACACGGCCCAGACUCCUACGGGAGGCAGCAGUAGGGAAUCUUCCGCAAGGGGCGAAAGCUUGACGGAGCAACGCCGCGUGAGUGAUGAAGGUCUUCGGAUCGUAAAACUCUGUUAUUAGGGAAGAACAAAUGUGUAAGUAACUAUGCACGUCUGGACGGUACCUAAUCAGAAAGCCACGGCUAACUACGU